Molecule: ribosomal RNA, 460 nt
Filed under: uncultured bacterium
Lineage: Bacteria
Description: partial 16S ribosomal RNA
Rfam family: Bacterial small subunit ribosomal RNA
Source: RNAcentral
CCUACGGGAGGCUGCAGUGAGGAAUAUUGGUCAAUGGACGAGAGUCUGAACCAGCCAAGUAGCGUGAAGGAUGAAUGCCCUAUGGGUUGUAAACUUCUUUUAUAUGGGUAUAAAAUGUUCCACGUGUGGGAUUUUGUAUGUACCAUAUGAAUAAGGAUCGGCUAACUCCGUGCCAGCAGCCGCGGUAAUACGGAGGAUCCGAGCGUUAUCCGGAUUUAUUGGGUUUAAAGGGAGCGUAGGUGGAUUGUUAAGUCAGUUGGGAAAGUUUGCGGCUCAACCGUAAAAUUGCAGUUGAAACUGGCAGUCUUGAGUACAGUAGAGGUGGGCGGAAUUCGUGGUGUAGCGGUGAAAUGCUUAGAUAUCACGAAGAACUCCGAUUGCGAAGGCAGCUCACUGGACUGCAACUGACAUUGAUGCUCGAAAGUGUGGGUAUCAAACAGGAUUAGAUACCCGGGUAGUC